ACGCUGGCGGCGCGCUUUAUACAUGCAAGUCGAACGAGAAGCCAGAGCUUGCUCUGGUGGAAAGUGGCGAACGGGUGAGUAACACGUGAGAAACCUGCCCCAAAGACUGGGAUAAGCCGAGGAAACUUGGUCUAAUACCGGAUACCUCUUUUUAUCACAUGUUAAAAAGAAGAAAUGCUCCGGCGCUUUGGGAUGGUCUCGCGACCUAUCAGCUUGUUAGUGAGGUAAAAGCUCACCAAGGCAUCGACGGGUAGCUGGUCUGAGAGGAUGUCCAGCCACAUUGGGACUGAGAUACGGCCCAAACUCCUACGGGAGGCAGCAGUAGGGAAUCUUGCACAAUGAGGGAAACCUUGAUGCAGCGACGCCGCGUGCGGGACGAAGGCCCUAGGGUCGUAAACCGCUUUCAGUAGGGACGAAAGUGACGGUACCUACAGAAGAAGCCCCGGCCAACUAUGUG
Molecule: ribosomal RNA, 457 nt
Filed under: uncultured bacterium
Lineage: Bacteria
Description: bacterial SSU rRNA
Rfam family: Bacterial small subunit ribosomal RNA
Source: RNAcentral